GACGAACGCUGGCGGCGUGCUUAACACAUGCAAGUCGAACGAGGCCCAAGCGUCAGCAAUGACGUGGAAGGCCUAGUGGCGAACGGGUGAGUAACACGUGAGGAACCUACCCCGGACUCAGGGAUAACAGACGGAAACAUCUGCUAAUACCUGAUGCCGUCGGAGCAUCACAUGGUGCACUGACGAAAGAAUCUCGGUUCGGGAGGGCCUCGCGGCCUAUCAGCUAGUUGGUGGGGUAACGGCCUACCAAGGCAUCGACGGGUAGCUGGUCUGAGAGGAUGAUCAGCCACACUGGGACUGAGACACGGCCCAGACUCCUACGGGAGGCAGCAGUGGGGAAUCUUGCGCAAUGGGCGAAAGCCUGACGCAGCAACGCCGCGUGCGGGAAGAAGGCCUUAGGGUUGUAAACCGCUUUCAGUAGGAACGAAAAUGACGGUACCUGCAGAAGAAGGUGCGGCCAACUACGUGCCAGCAGCCGCGGUGACACGUAGGCACCAAGCGUUGUCCGGAUUUAUUGGGCGUAAAGAGCUCGUAGGCGGUUCAGUAAGUCGGGUGUGAAAACUCUGGGCUUAACCCAGAGCCGCCACUCGAUACUGCUGUGACUUGAGUUCGGUAGGGGAGCAGGGAAUUCCUAGUGUAGCGGUGAAAUGCGCAGAUAUUAGGAGGAACACCGGUGGCGAAGGCGCUGCUCUGGGCCGAUACUGACGCUGAGGAGCGAAAGCGUGGGUAGCAAACAGGAUUAGAUACCCUGGUAGUCCACGCCGUAAACGUUGGGCACUAGGUGUGGGUUCCAACCAACGGAAUCCGCGCCGUCGCUAACGCAUUAAGUGCCCCGCCUGGGGAGUACGGCGGCAACGCUA
Molecule: ribosomal RNA, 860 nt
Filed under: uncultured bacterium
Lineage: Bacteria
Description: bacterial SSU rRNA
Rfam family: Bacterial small subunit ribosomal RNA
Source: RNAcentral